RNAcentral lists this non-coding RNA (122 nucleotides) under unclassified sequences. Its description in RNAcentral is "L2-Alphaproteobacteria ribosomal protein leader". It matches the Rfam family "L2-Alphaproteobacteria ribosomal protein leader". The record is from RNAcentral.
GGGCACCUACGGGGGCCUAUAACCUUGGCACCUUAGUAGUUGGCUUUGAGAUCAAAACCAGCGAGCAGGGGCCUUCAUCUACGCAGAGAGCACGCUCUUUGCAUGCACACGGAAGACAGAAA